RNAcentral lists this ribosomal RNA (406 nucleotides) under uncultured bacterium. RNAcentral's name for it is "partial 16S ribosomal RNA". It matches the Rfam family "Bacterial small subunit ribosomal RNA", at positions 30 to 526 of the family's 1533-position model. The record is from RNAcentral.
AUUGAACGCUGGCGGCAGGCUUAACACAUGCAAGUCGAACGAGUGGCGGACGGGUGAGUAAUGUAUGGUAAACUGCCCCAUGGAGGGGGAUCACUACUUGAAAACGUCGCUAAUACCGCAUACUAUCGGAUCAGACCAGAUGGGAUUAGCUAGUUGGUGGGGUAACGGCUCACCUAGGCGACGAUCCCUAGCUGGUCUGCAAGGAUGACCAGCCACACUGGAACUGAGACACGGUCCAGACUCCUACGGGAGGCAGCAGUGGGGAAUUUUGCACAAGGGGCACAAGCCUGAUGCAGCCAUGCCGCGUGUAUGAAGAAGGCCUUCGGGUUGUAAAGUACUUUCAGCGGGGAGGCGUUACUCGCAGAAGAAGCACCGGCUAACUCCGUGCCAGCAGCCGCGGUAAUAC